RNAcentral lists this long non-coding RNA (762 nucleotides) under Arachis ipaensis. Its description in RNAcentral is "long non-coding RNA (AIPA_LNC000439)". The record is from RNAcentral. Lineage: Eukaryota; Viridiplantae; Streptophyta; Magnoliopsida; Fabales; Fabaceae.
GACCUGGCAUGAAGAAAGAGGCAAUUCAAUUCUCACAACCCAAGAACAUAAUUUACCCCAUGACAAAAAAAAACAUAAUUUACCCAAAAAGUAAAGUUGAAUGUUGCCAAGUUCAUCUUCAAACUUUUUAAAUUAUAUACCAGGUCCAAAAAAAAAAAACUUUUUAAAUUAUAUGAAUCAUCUACUGAAAUCUACCUCUGAGUAUGAGAAAAACAGAUGUAGUUAUAGUGACAAAAUCGACAUUGACAAGUAAUAAGACACUGAUGCACACACUUAUUGGACAAAUUACAGGACAGCUCUCAUCAAUUUUAGAUAAUAAGGGUAUGCCGAAGGGUCUUGUCCCAACUUCCAAUGUUGAAACAGGUUGAAGAGCAGGUGCCGGUGCCAGAGCAGGCUCAUCUUCAUCCUCCCAUGAUUCCUUUACAUCAUUUUCAUCCACAUCUUCAUCAUCCCAUUUACUUUUAGUCACUUCCUUUUUGUUAAGGUCAAUAGGUGCAAUUUGCUCAUCCUCCCAAUCGUCCAUUUUGCUGUGUGCACUUCUUUGACAAAAUAGAAUAGCAAAAUAGCAGCUGAUCAAUUGGUGAGCUACGACCGCAGAAGCGUUGAUCGGAGAGGGUGAUGAUGUGAAAGAGAGAGAAAGCGAGAUUAGGGCACAAUUGGUUUUGAGUGUGUUUUGGGAAUUUGUGUAAACUACUCUUCCACCUUAGUAUAUAUAUAGAGCAUUGAUCUAAGAAAGAUAAAAGCAAAUAAAAAUAAGAUAAG